This 465-nucleotide ribosomal RNA is filed under the name uncultured bacterium. RNAcentral's name for it is "partial 16S ribosomal RNA". It matches the Rfam family "Bacterial small subunit ribosomal RNA", at positions 28 to 507 of the family's 1533-position model. The record is from RNAcentral.
GACGAACGCUGGCGGCGUGCUUAACACAUGCAAGUCGAACGGAAAGGCCCUGCUUGCAGGGUACUCGAGUGGCGAACGGGUGAGUAACACGUGGGUGAUCUGCCCUGCACUUCGGGAUAAGCCUGGGAAACUGGGUCUAAUACCGGAUAGGAGCCAUCUUUAGUGUGAUGGUUGGAAAGUUUUUUCGGUGUAGGAUGAGCUCGCGGCCUAUCAGCUUGUUGGUGGGGUAAUGGCCUACCAAGGCGGCGACGGGUAGCCGGCCUGAGAGGGUGGACGGCCAAAUUGGGACUGAGAUACGGCCCAGACUCCUACGGGAGGCAGCAGUGGGGAAUAUUGCACAAUGGGCGCAAGCCUGAUGCAGCGACGCCGCGUGGGGGAUGACGGCCUUCGGGUUGUAAACUCCUUUCGCUAGGGACGAAGCUUUUUGUGACGGUACCUAGAUAAGAAGCACCGGCUAACUACGUG